Molecule: long non-coding RNA, 367 nt
Organism: Drosophila elegans
Lineage: Eukaryota; Metazoa; Arthropoda; Insecta; Diptera; Drosophilidae
Exons: 2
Source: RefSeq, a predicted model, not a curated record
CAGCGUUCAGAAUUUAUUCCCCUGCACUCGACUUGUAUUGUUUUGUUUUGUUUACAUUGCUAAACUGUCAGUGCAAAGCAAAAACUUAAUUAAUGUGUUUACAUGGGCUUCAAGCAUAACAUGUGUCAUACAUAGGCGCCUAUCAAUGAAUACGAAACUCUCGGAAUGAAUCAUCCCAUGUAUAAAUUGAUAAAACACACACAAAAACUGGGUAAAAGCAGGGGACUAAUGAACAAGGAAAACAAAGCGCGACAACAAUUUGAUUAACCGAUGAUGUGAUGUGAAACUGAAAGGUAGAACUAAAAAAAUCAAUAACCAAAAGGUAUGACGCCACAGAAUCUCAACCAAUAAAGGCCAAUUUAUAAUA